AAGCCGUAAAGCUACUGGCUGUCGUCUUUUAUAGCUUCUUUCUGACAUUAGCUCCAAAACCUCCAAAACCUGGCAAAACCCUGCUUGAGCUCGUGCUAGAAGAUUGGUAUCAGGUGCCAAGCCUGGCUUGUCCUUGUGAUAGAAGAUUGGUGUCAGGUGCAGGGCUUGGGAGCCGCUGCUCUGGUCGUGGUUAACAGGUCUCUGCACUUGGCAGAUCACGCCCAAUUCCCCAGUCACGUGGCCACACCCUCCUCAUUAGAACAUUUUAACAGGUUUAAGGGAGUCAGUGAAAGAAACAGAAAGUUUGUAUGCUUUUAAGAAGAAGGACUUUUGCUUCUUGGUUCAUCUUGCUCUGUCUUCCCAAGCACCUACGACAGAACUUAUUCUGUGGACUUGCUUAUCACUCUAUCCACCAGUUAUUUCCUUUAAAUUGCUCUUCCUUAGGCCAAACUUGGUCUUGGACAAAAGAACAAAACCUCGAGUCUGGUGUUAGUGGCACCUCCCAAAGCUUCUCUGGUGCUGGACUCCUGGCCCGGCCCUUCCUUUCCAGGGUGGCUGAGAUUAGAGGGGCAUCCCUCUCUCUGGAGCACUUCCAUGUCAAGCCUCCCCUUAAAGGAAUCUCAGGUUUUACAACUCAGUGCUGUAACUCAGCAAAUAGUAACGAAGUGCUUGUAAGGCAGAUUUUGUUGUAAACUCUGUCUUGACCCAGUUUUGAGGCCCAGCUAGAUGACCACCAGUUUUACUUUUCUGAGCUGUCCUCACCACCAACCUCUUCCUUAUCCUCAUCUCAGACUCCAGGCCACUCUACACUCACCCUAGUCCCCCUAAAGCAGUGGUGGUCAACUUAUGGCACGAGUACCUCAGUAGUCUGUUGGUAUCACUGGAAACUCUAAAAGUUGCCCGCCACUGUCCUUAGGCCAGGUACCAGGCAAUUAGGGACAGCCUCUGUGCAUGCUCUGAAGCUAGCCAAAAUUUUCAAAUUAGCCAAUCCACAGAGAGCAAGGAACCCUAGCUGCCUCCAACCGGUUGCCUACAUAAGCUGCUCCUAUAGCUCCAGUGGGAUAGUACCCUCUUCCUGGGCUCAACCCACCUCGUGGCCUUGCCUGUGUAGAAUUCUGGCUUUCACCCACUCCAGUGUCCUUGCAUCGAGUCUCUCUAUUCAAAGUGCCCUUGGAUCUUACACAGCAGUCCCUACUCUGUGUAAGGACCUACUGUGUCUUCAGGGAAGAGGAGAGGUGACCUUUGUCCUUUAGGAGGUGACAGGCCAGCAGGAGAAAUACCAGCCCUUAUGCUAAGGCCAAGAAAAAAGCAGAGCACAUCUGAAAUCUCAGAGUUCACAGGUGGGAUACAAGGGUGCUUGAGUGCAGACUGCAGAAGUGACCAAGAGUGCUUGUAGGGGAGGGUGCUAUGCAGUACCAUCUCUGCCUUCUGUGCCACCAGCCCCUGGCAGCCCAGUGGAAACCUGCAUGUAUCAGAUGUUACAUGUACUUGUGCAACCUGUGGUGCCAAUCAGGAAGAAUCUCCGUCCUUCAUACCCGUGAAAAGUUAUGUUGGCAUAGCCCAGCUACAGAAUAACUCCAGUUUGGCCUCCGGUCACAACUGAGACUUCAGUGAUCCAGUGAUGCUGUGAUUCUCCAG
This is a long non-coding RNA of Heterocephalus glaber (naked mole-rat), 1638 nucleotides long. RefSeq lists it as uncharacterized. Lineage: Eukaryota; Metazoa; Chordata; Mammalia; Rodentia; Bathyergidae. The record is from RefSeq and is a predicted model, not a curated record.